Molecule: ribosomal RNA, 481 nt
Filed under: uncultured bacterium
Lineage: Bacteria
Description: partial 16S ribosomal RNA
Rfam family: Bacterial small subunit ribosomal RNA
Source: RNAcentral
GAUGAACGCUGGCGGCGUGCUUAACACAUGCAAGUCGAACGAAGCAUUUGCGACAGAUUUUUUCGGAAUGAAGUUGCUUAUGACUGAGUGGCGGACGGGUGAGUAACGCGUGGGUAACCUGCCUUGUACUGGGGGAUAGCAGCUGGAAACGGCUGGUAAUACCGCAUAAGCGCACAAUGUUGCAUGACAUGGUGUGAAAAACUCCGGUGGUAUAAGAUGGACCCGCGUCUGAUUAGCUAGUUGGUGAGAUAACAGCCCACCAAGGCGACGAUCAGUAGCCGACCUGAGAGGGUGACCGGCCACAUUGGGACUGAGACACGGCCCAGACUCCUACGGGAGGCAGCAGUGGGGAAUAUUGCACAAUGGAGGAAACUCUGAUGCAGCGACGCCGCGUGAGUGAAGAAGUAAUUCGUUAUGUAAAGCUCUAUCAGCAGGGAAGAUAGUGACGGUACCUGACUAAGAAGCCCCGGCUAACUACGUG